This 547-nucleotide small RNA is filed under the name Histoplasma ohiense. Its description in RNAcentral is "hypothetical lncRNA". The record is from RNAcentral. Lineage: Eukaryota; Fungi; Ascomycota; Eurotiomycetes; Onygenales; Ajellomycetaceae.
UCUCCCUUACAAAUCAAUUUUGCGUUAGUUAGGAACUCUCCACCUUUCGCGUUUUGGGUUAUUGGGGAGCGUUAUAUUGGAUCAUAUCGUAUCCUAUUCACAUUCGCGGUUCCUUUUUGCUUUCAGAUUUUUCCUUCAUAAAUGAGUUGAUUUUGGAGGCCGAUUGCUAGCUUCUGAAAAGUUACCAUCUCCUGCAUACUACUCUGCCGAUUGUACAUUUUGCAAAUUUCCUCGCGAUGGUCUCUAUUGAGGCUGUGGAACCCCAGCGGCAGAAUAAGCGGAAAGCCGCUGCUGCAAGCAUUCAGACGACAUCACGCCCGAUAAAACGACGAGCAUCGAAGGCUUGCUGCUGUUGCAGGGCGCGCAAGGUCCGAUGUGAUGUGGUAGAAAAUGGUUCUCCGUGUACCAAUUGCAGAUUGGACGCAGUUAAAUGCGUCGUCACAGAGAGCAAGCGCAGAAAGAAAUCCCGAACUGAGGGAAGUGCCUCAAAGCCGCCACAAGUACAAUCCGCCAAUGAUUCCGCAUUUGCCUUCAACACCAAUAAUGA